RNAcentral lists this long non-coding RNA (1237 nucleotides) under Homo sapiens (human). RNAcentral describes it as "HSALNT0342396". Lineage: Eukaryota; Metazoa; Chordata; Mammalia; Primates; Hominidae. The record is from RNAcentral.
GUCUCCCGCUGGGAUCGCGAUCGCCCGCGGUGGCCGAGCGCAGCGCCUUCAAGACUCCGGUUGGGGGGAACGUCGGAGCGCCCCUGUAGUGGUUAGUGUACAGAGCGCGGAGACGCCGCUACCACCUGCCCGGGACCCCCCACACCCGACCCCUGCGUGGCCCAGGCCCCCCGCAGCAGCGUGCGUGGGAGGCGCCCCGACGGUGGACGGCAACACUCUGAUCCCUCUGCGCCCAGCGAGGACCGGGACACCGACACGACCAGGAACAGCGUGGCAUGUUUGGAGGAGUGGAGUUGAGGGGGAAACAGCCCUGACCCUCUCAGGGGGCCGCGCGCGUGGAUGCCCCACACCCGGACAGCGGCGGUGCCAGCGUCGCACCCGAACGCACCCCAACGGCGGUAGCGCUGGGGGUCCCGGCAGCCCCCAUUCGCCCAAGCCGUUCCAGUUUAGGCCACGACAGGAAAAGUCUGGGAGCCCAGUUCUGUGUCCCCCCGCGCCGCUUCAGCGGAACAGCCCAAGAAACUUCCUGUGGUUCAGACACCUUGGUUUGUUGCAACUUUGGGCGCAGAAAGUUGGAAAGUGUGGGUGCACUCACUGAAAACGGAAAGCGUGGUCCCAAGUUUACAGAAAUGCUAAAAUGCAAACCAAAAAAUAAAUUCUCUUUUGAUUUCUCUCCUCGCGGAAAGCUGGCGAAAGCACACGUUUUAUGAUCGUCAUCUUUCAUUGAUUAUACACACGUGUGACUUGGAGUUUCCAGUAGGAAUACUGUUCUUUGACUCUCCCGUACUUCACUGAACGAGUAAUUAGUUAAAACAAGUCCCCAAAUUCCUUAAUCUCAAAAUGCAUAUGUAAAUAGAAUCUGCAUAGGAUACAAAAUAAAACGCGCAAGUGGAAAACAAUUGCUUUUCAAGUGAGUUCGAGGGUUGGCGCAGUGAAUUCGGCAUUUUUGGAGGAAGAGGCUGGAAAUGAAAGUCCCAAGAUUUAGAGAACACGCGUGUCCCCAGGUCUUGCGCAGCUGGCCAGGGGCCUCAGUUUCCCCAAGGGGAGGCCCCUGAUGUCGGGAACGGGGUUCACUGUCUCCCCAACGCAACCUUGACUCGCCGGUGGGUGGGAGCGCGCUGGCGUCGGGGGGCACGUUGCGAGCCUCCACCCUAGAUGCGGUGACGCCGCGCACAGCAGGGCACUGUGGAUCUCGGGUGGCCAAGGGCUGCCUCCGUGUGGGGCGCCCCGGCCCGCG